UUGGUUAAAGCCCUUGGGCUUUUUUUUUAUUGAGCUCAAGAAAUAACACUGACUUUCUAUUUUGCAGCGGGUUUACUGUGGACGAUAUUAAAGCGGCAAGUGGCGAAGCUGCAACAACGAAUACCCAAAAUAAUAAAUAGGCUAUAGAGCUAUGCUCUAGGCGAUGAAUGAUUUCCAAGAAAGUGUGUGGUAAUUGAUGUCGACAGAUAAGUUGCAAUAAAGGUGUGGACCUAA
Long non-coding RNA from Dermacentor andersoni, 234 nucleotides. RefSeq lists it as uncharacterized. NCBI's taxonomy places the organism in Eukaryota, Metazoa, Arthropoda, Arachnida, Ixodida, Ixodidae. The record is from RefSeq and is a predicted model, not a curated record.